GCCAACUUGCGAAAGUGAGCGAAUCCCAAAAAGUGCGUCGUAGUCCGGAUUGGAGUCUGCAACUCGACUCCAUGAAGUCGGAAUCGCUAGUAAUCGUGGAUCAGAAUGCCACGGUGAAUACGUUCCCGGGCCUUGUACACACCGCCCGUCACACCAUGGGAGUGGGCUGCAAAAGAAGUAGGUAGUUUAACCUUCGGGGGG
This 201-nucleotide ribosomal RNA is filed under the name Vibrio parahaemolyticus. RNAcentral's name for it is "partial 16S ribosomal RNA". It matches the Rfam family "Bacterial small subunit ribosomal RNA", at positions 1249 to 1449 of the family's 1533-position model. The record is from RNAcentral. Lineage: Bacteria; Pseudomonadati; Pseudomonadota; Gammaproteobacteria; Vibrionales; Vibrionaceae.